This 253-nucleotide ribosomal RNA is filed under the name uncultured bacterium. RNAcentral describes it as "partial 16S ribosomal RNA". It matches the Rfam family "Bacterial small subunit ribosomal RNA", at positions 524 to 776 of the family's 1533-position model. The record is from RNAcentral.
UACAUAUGGUCCAAGCGUUGUCCGGAAUGACUGGGCGUAAAGGGUGUGUAGGCGGAUUGGAAAGUCAGGUGUGAAAUCCCCGAGCUUAACUCGGGAUCUGCGCUUGAAACUUCCAGUCUUGUGCAUGUCAGGGGUAAGCGGAAUUCCCGGAGUAGCGGUGAAAUGCGUAGAUAUCGGGAAGAACACCGGUGGCGAAGGCGGCUUACUGGGGCAUUGCAGACGCUGAGACACGAAAGCGUGGGGAGCGAACAGG